AACGAACGCUGGCGGCAUGCCUAACACAUGCAAGUCGAACGAGACCUUCGGGUCUAGUGGCGCACGGGUGCGUAACGCGUGGGAACCUGCCUUUAGGUUCGGAAUAACUCAGAGAAAUUUGAGCUAAUACCGGAUGAUGUCUUCGGACCAAAGAUUUAUCGCCUUAGAUUGGCCCGCGUUGGAUUAGCUAGUUGGUGGGGUAAAGGCCUACCAAGGCGACGAUCCAUAGCUGGUCUGAGAGGAUGAUCAGCCACACUGGGACUGAGACACGGCCCAGACUCCUACGGGAGGCAGCAGUGGGGAAUAUUGGACAAUGGGCGAAAGCCUGAUCCAGCAAUGCCGCGUGAGUGAUGAAGGCCUUAGGGUUGUAAAGCUCUUUUACCCGAGAUGAUAAUGACAGUAUCGGGAGAAUAAGCUCCGGCUAACUCCGUG
This 432-nucleotide ribosomal RNA is filed under the name uncultured bacterium. RNAcentral describes it as "partial 16S ribosomal RNA". It matches the Rfam family "Bacterial small subunit ribosomal RNA", at positions 29 to 507 of the family's 1533-position model. The record is from RNAcentral.